RNAcentral lists this long non-coding RNA (30684 nucleotides) under Nicotiana benthamiana. RNAcentral's name for it is "long non-coding RNA (NBEN_LNC019133)". Lineage: Eukaryota; Viridiplantae; Streptophyta; Magnoliopsida; Solanales; Solanaceae. The record is from RNAcentral.
UAAGUAAUUUGAGUGCUGAAUUGCAUGGUCAAUCGGAAUUACGGCUAGAGGUUGUCUAGGCCGUAUACUGAAUCUGAAACUAACUUCCUUAAUUCAUGCCUACUGUUUCAUGUAUUGGUCAAAUUUUAUUAUAAGGUGUUAUUUUCAAUUUAUUUUUAAAAAAAAAUCCUGCUGAAUUAAUUUUACUAGCUCAAUUAACCUCAGUUAUGAGUUCAGUUUAUUUUCAGUUUGGGCCUUUUGAACAGGCCCACCUUCAUUCAAGCUUACUAAAAUUCUCUAGUUUGAAUUUGAGCUUAAAUGCCUUAAUUCAUAGUUUAAAUGUAAAUUUGGGCCUUCGAGUUAGGUAGCGAAUUUGAGUUAAGAGGGUCACGCUUUUCUUUGAAUCCGGACUUGAAUUUGAGGCUCCAAUUCUAAUAAUAUUAAUUAACCAAGCCCGUUUAGAGACAAAUUGAAUAGAAAAUCGUAGUUUGCUUUAGGUUGGCCUUUAAAUAAUAAAUGAGGUGCGCCUCACCAAAUAAAAAAUGUAUAAAUUGCGUAGCCCUCUUAAAUGCUUGUAUUAAAAAUACUUAGAAUUUGGGGCGUGCCAUUUGGCGAAUUUCACGGCCUCCCGCAAAUCUAAUUGCACGUUAGUCGCUUUAGGCACAUUUUUAAAUAAUCUUACCUUCCUAAAAUACGGGUGUGCUUUUUAUACGACCCAAAUCCAAAUCCCAAAAUUUUCAAUAAAAAUGUGUCGAUGAUCUGGGUGCAUUUCAUGUGGCGUGAUCCAAAAAUAUGUUUUUAAACAACGUUCACUUUCUUAAAAAUUUAAUUAAAGCGGUAAAUAAUAUUUAAAAUUGCAUUAUAUGAUGAACAUGUAUAAAAAAUUAGAUUUUAGCCAUUCAUAAUAGUUUAAGCGACCGUGCUAGAACCACGGGAUCCGGGGGUGCCUAACACCUUCCCCCGGGUCAACAGAAUUCCUUACGUAGAAUAUUGGUUCGCAGACUCCAAUUGGGAAGUCAAAAAUUUUCCUCGAUUCAGGAUUCAAAAUAAAUUGGUGACUUGGGACACCAAAAACCAAACUCAUCCCAAGUGGCGACUCUGAUUGAAUAAAUAAUCCCGAUUCGAAUGGUGUCACUUAAAAUGGAAAUACUCUCUUAUACACUAUCCCCCGAGGUGGGUAUGAAAAAAGGAGGUGUGACACCGGGUCCCAGCAUGUGACCAAUGCCCUUAUGAUGUCCCCCCGAGGCAUAAUUUCCAACAAACCGAUGAGCCCUUUCAAAUAUUUUUUGACUUCAUCUUGCCCUUCUCCUCCUAGAUCUUUCCACCACAGACGCAACUCUAGAGAGAUUUUAUUCAUGAUUGAGAAUAGUUCAUUUUGAACAAUGCUCAUCCUGCAUAUUUAUUAUGGUUAUUUAUCACUUAUUUGACCUAAAAGGGAAAAAUGACACUAUUUUAUUCAAAUUUCUAAUUUAAAACAAACAACCGGUUUUGAAGAUACGACCUUUUAGUCCUUCGGGAAGAAGAACUUAAGGUUUUUCCCGCUAACCAUUGAAAAUGCCCCAAAGUGAUUGUUCUUGCAAAAACAGCCUUUCCGCGUCCUUUUGAGGACAUUCGGCUUAUUUUAGACAAUAAUGGCCUCACCUAACUUAUUCAUAUGAUAAAAUUAAAAUUUUUAUUGUUUUGGGAUACUUUUGCAAAAGGGGAAGUUGAACCCGAUGUGGGUUGCCUACGUAUCCCACACCAUGUGAGAAUCAAACUGCCAUAGCUCGGGCAAAUAAAACAAACUAUUUUUGAAAACAAGACUCUUUUUUAUAUAUUAUUUUCAGUGGAAAAUAAAAGAAACUAUUUUGAAAAUAAAACUCUUUUAGUUUUUCUUUUUCACUGGCAAAUAAAACAAACUAUUUUGAAAAUAAAACACUUUUCUUUUUUCAUUUUUCUCGAAAAUCUGGCAGAGUUUCGGCACUAUUUGGAUAUUGAUUUUAAAAUAAAUAGGUAAUUAACUCUCUACACUGUUAUUUCUCUGUUUUUCUCUCUUUUCUCAAUUUUCCAAUAUUCUAAAAAUCAGCCAGCAUGCAAGUCCAAAGCAAAUAAAUGCACAAGUAGCACGUAAGAUGCAUCAGGAUGGUCUUUUCAUUUCAGGUUACCUGCCUUAGAUGGACCCUACCCUGUGUUGAGUCUUUUCAUUUCAUGUUACCUGUCUUAGACGGACCCAACCCCUGUGUUGAGUUCCCUAAGUCAUAUGCACGUAAGGCAAAUAAGCGUUCCUACUAGGGAUCUGGCAUGAAUUCAAGUUAUUCUAGGUUCAAAACCUGGGUAUAUGUUCUAAACUAUGUACCCAAGCGGACGACUCGAGUCGAUAAGAAGGCUUAACCAGUGAGCACAUCCCCGGAGAUGAGAACAGAAGGGUCUCGUCACAGUUUAUAUACAUUCCAACUAAUAUCAAAGCGGUAAAGCAUUUAGCAUGAAAAAUGUAGGAAAAUCAGAUAAAGUCAUAUAUAACAUUUAUUCUAAGUUCAAAUUCUUAAACCCUGAAUCGAAGUUCCGAGUUUGUAUCCCCAUCAGAGUCGCCAGAGCUGUCACACCACCUUUUUCCUACACCCCGAAAGGGUAUAAAGGAGUUUUUUCAAUUAAAGGACAAUCGGAACAAAAUUUAUUAUUAAAAAUUCAGAGUCACCACUUGGGAGAUUAAUGGUGUCCCAAGUAACCAGUUGAAUCCCGAAUCGAGGAAAUUAUUGACUCUGUUUAUCAGUCCGCGAACCAUAAAUCUAAGUAAGAAAUUCUGUUAACCCGAGAGAAGGUGUUAGGCAUUCCGGGGUUCCGUGGUUCUAGCACAGUCGCUCAACUGUCAUAUUUGGCUUAUUUAUCUGAUUUAAAACAUGUUUUAAACUAUGCACUUUGUAACUUUAAACUGCUUUUAUUAUUUUAAAGAGAAUUACAACGUUGUUAAAACACGUCUCAAACCACGUCACAUAAAUGCACCCGUGGUUUUUGACACAUUCAAACUUCGCUGGGAUUUGAACUUGGAUCACAUAAAUGUGCACCCGAGUUUAGGAAGGUAAUAUAACUAAAUGUCGGGCCAAAAGAAACUAACGUAUUAUUAACUUUGCGGGAAGCUAUAAAAUUCACUAAAUGGCGCGUUGCGAGGGUUAAAUAUUUUUCAUAGAAACAGUUAAGAGGGCCACGCUAUUCCUGCAUUUUAUUUGGCGUGGCGCAUCUCGUUUUUAUUUUUAAGGCCAUCUUAAAAGAAUUACGAUUUUCUAUUAAGAUUGUCUCUAAAAACCUAUGGAUUAAUCGUUAUGUAAAGUUCUAAAUAUGCUCAGGCCCAAACUUAAACAAAGGGAAUUUAUAUUGCUAAAAAAACCUCUUAAGUCGAAUCUGUUGCCUCGAAUUGAAGGCCCUCGCUAAUGUUGCAAACUGAAACCCAAACAAAUAGAAUUCCAAGCCCUUAGCAUUUCAGGCUUUAAAUUUAGCUCAUACAAGAGGCGGUUUAGCCUUGGGCUUCAACACAAGCCCAAUUCGGAGCUACAAAAUGCACUGGUCCAGCUGGGACUUCUUAUUAAAUACCAGGCUCGAUAUUCGGCCUAGUUUUACAGUCCAAGCAAUACGUGUAAGUCUAGGUGAAAUCAACGUAAGUGUAGAAGUAUGUGAUUUACCAUUUGAUCAUCUAAUUUGGUACUUUGAACAUUGACUAUCCGUUACUCCAAUUUACUAGUUAGCUACCUUUAAAUUUCAAUUUAAAUGGACAUAUCAACAAUGACAACCUAUGGGAUACAUGAUUUUAUUUUUAUUAGUCCUAUCACCUGUUAACUGGUAGAAAUGAAAACAGUGUAAACUAACCAAUCCAUUCUACCAUCUAAUUUAAAAUUUAGACAAAACUUUAUACUAGAAUCCGGAAUCAACUAGUAAUGAGUGUAGGAGUAAAAAAUUAUUCAAUACAUUAGAUCAAAUGUUCAAAUUAUCAUGAACUCAUAGAAUUGUACUUAAACCACUAGCGUUCGAAACUAAAUAGCAAUAUGUCACAGUCCAUAGUUCACAAUUAAUUAACAUGAAUACUUAGGCAUAUCAAAGAGCUCACAUAGUACAAAACAAAACAGAAUCUAUAAGGAAUUCAACAUCAACUUCAUAUCAUCUCGUUUUCAACUUGAGAGAUACAUUGGAUCGAAUUCAAAAAGUGUACCUGGAAGUAGAAUGAAAUGUAAGCGAAGAGAGGAAUCAGCAACAACAAGCAACAGUCACAAACCAGAGUUUCAACCCAAAACAAUGUCACAGCAACCAAGAAUGAUUUGCAUAGGAAUAAACAACAAUAAACCACUGAAAACAGAUCAACCUAAGCCCAAGCAAACUCGAAAUUAUCCAGAAUCCUUCUGAAUUUGAACUAAUGAAAUCUGGAAGCACUAAAACUAUUUUUGGACCUUCUAUGAACUUGAGAGUUUGAUCUAAAGCUAAAACUCAAAUUUAAUUUAAGAAAAAAACUCGAAUAAAGUAGUAUUUUUGGAGUUUUUUUCUAUUUUUUCCGGAUUGUUUUGAGGAACUAAGAUCUAAGAUGAGUUUCCUAGCUCUAAAAUUUAGAUCUGGUUUUUGGAUUUGAUAUUCAAAAUUUUCAGAUUGCCAAUGUUGCAGAAGGCUUUUUGGGAGAAAUUUUUCAGAUAUGAACUUUUUGGGGGAAUUUUCAGGCGCUAAACCUAUGUAACAAGGCAAUAGGCAUGCUUUUUUAUAGGUAAAGUCUAAGGCUGCCUUCAGAUUGCUAUUUACACCUUUAGUCCCUCUUUUAUUUUUAGAUUUUAACUGUUUAGUCCUUUAUUUGUUAGCUUGUUGCUCGAUUCACAUUAUUAAGUUCUUCAAACUAUAAUUAAAACCCUAUCUAGAUGCUUCUAGGGAAUUCUAUUUCAGUUACUAUAAGAUUCUUUUAUCUAAAAGCCUAUACUACCCUUGAAUUUAAUCUGAUAUUACUAAGACCAGCCUAGCCCUUUUUACCCUAGUUAAAUUUGACUAUAGUUACUCAAAGAUUUUGAAUUAUUCAGCUAUAUCCAAACAACUAAUAGAAAUCCUAACAAUUAAACUAAUUAAACAAAACUAAAAUUUAACUCUAAUUAAUACUAAUAUUCUAAAGCUAAUUCUACCAGUAAACUACAGUAACAAACCAAUGAUUAACCAAAUCUAUUUCCUUAAUCCUAAAUUGACCCUUAUCAAUUCAAAUUAAUAAAUCAUAGGCAAACAUCAAUUAAACAGGAAUCCAAACACCCAAUUGUAAAUCUAACGGCCAAAAUAUGAAUCACACUAAAAGGAAAAAAGCUAAACCUAAUAAAAGGAAUUUAAAAGAGCUAAAACAAAUUCUAUGAACAUACCAGGAAGACUAAUAAUAUCAAAAGAAAAAAUCAAGAAAUAAGAUGAACCCUAACUCAUAUACUGAAGAAAGGUAGGUAAGAACCAACAAGAAAAAGGAAAACUGGAUUUAAAACUAAUAGAAAAAAAAUUCAAAUAUUAAACGAAAAACAAAACUAGAAAACUUACCAAUUUUGAACUUGGACACAACUGCAUUUCUGAUUUCAACCACAAGAUGAUAUCAAUCAACCAUUCUUGUCAAGAAUUGUCAAAUAAUAUCAUCUCAUGGUGAAAUUAUGCCUAAAACUUGUAGAGAAACGGAGAAGAAACUAAACCCGCUCAGGUUCCAGAUUUUACAUUCUAUAUUCAAGAAGUUUGGGGAACCUUUGAAGGGAAAGGGGUGCGGGUUAGUGAUGUGGGGGUAGAGGUGAACCUAUGAUGUAAAUUUGGUAGGGAUUGGGGGUGGCGCCUCCAUACACGGCGGAGGUGGCCCUAGGGUUUGGAUUAUUUGAAGAGUUGGAGUGUGAUUUAAAAGAAACUAAGGCUAGAUUCAGACUGGGAGAUGAAGAAAAGGCUAUGGUGUAAUUUUGGAGGGGUUUGGAUGAUCACCGCCGCCGUGGGGUGAUUUCCAGUGGCGAUUUCAGUCGGAGCCGACGAAGAGCGUCUCUAAGGUGAGUGGGUAAUACAAUUUGGCGUGGGUAAAAUUUAAGGGGAAUUAGAGGGGUUUAGGCUCGGUCUUUGGCCCAAAACUAGAUGGCCUGAUUUACCCCCAUUUUUUUAAUUUAAAUCAAUUAAUAAAUUUUUUUGUUGGUUUUCUUUCUUCUUUUUAUAUAUUUUCUGAUUUUUAUUAAAUGCAAAAUUAAAAUUAAAAGACCCAAAUUGAAUCUAAAAUGAUAAUAAUUAAUUUCCAAAUAAACUAAUUCCUAAUUUAAAAUCAAACUAAGACAAAUUAAAAGUAUAAAUGCAAAAGUACCAUUUUUGUUAUUUUCUUUGUUUUUGAAGUAGUUUAAUUACUAAUUAAUCUUAAAAUAUAAAAUUCAACCCGAAAUGUAAAUGCCAAGUAUUUUUUGUAUUUUUUAUUAUUCAAAAUACACAAAUAAAAUGCAAUUAAUUAACAUGAAAUGUCACAAAAAUUCACAAAAUUGCAAAUAAUGAAAGAAAAUUAUUUUGUUUUGAAAUUAUGGGAGUAACCCAUGUAGGAAAAAAAUUACGUGCUCACAGUUUUUCCAAUUCUGAUUAUUCCCUUGCGAUCUCCAUAGUUGAUUUGGAGCUUUACCUCGUUAUCCUUAAUAGUUGUUGGUAUACAAAACCUCUUAACUUUGCUAGCAAUACCCAUCAUGUUGGUUGUAAACAUUACCACCUUGCUCAUAUUUGUCUUGUGAUAAUUUUUUGAACAAGCAUGAGCAUGAAUCAAACACAAAUUUAGUGCAGAAUAGAGUCAGAGUGUGACUUGUAGGCUAAAAGAAUUUUAAAAAAAUCGGGACUCUGAGAAAAUUGGCGUACCGCAUCGCGUACAACACUGCAUGGGCUACUGCGCUAGGCCAAACAAGCAAAAUAUGACAGAACCAACUCUCUGGAAAAAGCCACUACCACGCCGCACCCAGUGAUGCAUCAAUACAAAUUUACGAAAAAAAUAUUAAUUAUAAUUUUUUUAGAACCUGAACUCUAACACCCACGACACCAUUUCUUUCUUUCCCCAUUCUUUCAUCUUACUACUUUCUAACUAUUUCCAAUCCCUCACCCCAAACCCCUUUCUUCUUCUUCUUCUUCUUCUUCUUCUUCUUCUUCUUCAACAAUUUAAUUCCACUCUAACUCCCCACCUUUACCAGUCCAAUUUCAAGGUAAGUUAUACUUCUCUUACUUGUAGUAUUUAGUUAGUUUGAGUUUAAGUUCUAUAACCCUAGGUAUUUUAUUUUGUGCUAAUUUUUUUUAGCUAUAUGUCUGUGACCCAUCUAAUUUAAUGUAUCUUAGUCAAUCACUUUAAGCAUGUAUUUAUAUUUCUUUGAAAACCACAUGACAAGCAUUACCCAUUUGUUCGAAUUGAUCAUCUGUUUGAACCUUUACCUCUCGUAAACACUUAAAAUCGCUAUGAUCUUGUAAUAGCUAAGUGGAGGUAUGGUUGGAUUUUUAAUUGGAACUAUAGGAAAAGGAGAAAAGUGUAGUGAUUGAAAAAUUAGGAGAGCUACUUGUAGAAAAAUUUUAAAAAAAAGUUUGAUUGGAAAAAGAAGAAAAUUCAGAACUUAGAGAAAAAAUGAAUUCUCUAACACCUCUCACCCCUUUUUCCUUCUUUUCACAGCCUCUCAUAUUACUACUUUCUAACUAUUCCCUUUCCUUUACUCCAAAUCCCUUUCUUCUUUUCUUCUUCAGUUUACUUCCACUCCAACUCCCAACCUUCACCACUUUAAUAUUAAGGCAAGUUCUCCUUCUCUUAGUUGUAGUAUUUAGUUAAUUUGAGUUUAAGUUCUCUAACCCUGGGUAUUUUAUUUUAUGUUAAUUUUCUUAGCUAUUUUUUUAUUUGGAUGAAUUUCUUGCAUAAAAUUGUGGGUUUUCAUUGUUGUUAUGAUUAUAGGUUAUUUUUGGUGUGUUUUAAUGGUGUAGAAUAAAUUUAUGUUGAAACUUGGUGAGGGUGAUCAAAUGGCCGAAAAUUAAUAAAGGUUGGUGUAAAUUUUAUGCACUUGCUGCUAUUGUGAAGAUGUGGUGAUGUCGUAGUUGUGGUGUGAGGUGUAUUUGAUUUUGUUGUAUGGUGAUUCUAACCCACUUUGAAUGAAAAUAAGGUGCAAGAUAUGCCCACAAUGUGGUUGUUGAAAUGUCUUAAUGACAUAAAAUUGUAUAGUGUUACAAAUUGAGAAAGGAAGUGCCUUGUGGGAUGUGAUGCUUGAUGAUAAAUGUGGGGUGGGAUGCCAUGUUCUUAUGUUGUGAAACUUUGACUUGUUAGCCUCGAGUUCUAAUUGAUUGACCACCCCAUGCUCAUAUGUUGCUAGGUACCAAAUGAGGUGUCUGAUUCAUGCUAUUGUGCUUGUGUAGUGUUGUCGUGUAUAUUAAUUUUGUUGGUAGUGACUUAGACUAACUUCUUAUUCUUCUUUUCUUGCUUACUAGCUUAGCUUCUUAAUAUUAUCCUUUACACUAGUUCCGGUGCUUAUGUUGUUGGAAUGUUGUGUUGCUGGUUGGGUUUUGUUGAACAUGCUGGGUGUGCAUUCAACGGGGUAGUUUGAGCCCCAUCUAUACAUUGUACUAGUGAACUUUCCAAUAACAGAAGUGUGGGGUGGUUACCCCAUUUGGUCUUGUUUGUGUUUUAAGUGUUGUGGCUAAUGAUGUUCAUCUUGUGCAGGUACAAUGUUUCAUCAUCCUAGUAAAUGUUCUAACACAUGUACCUGAGAGGUUGCCUCUAGUAGCCGUCAAGGAGGUAGGCGGGCACCUCCUCCUGCCCCAAUGGAGGAGGAAGAGGAGCGUAUUUAUUUCGAUGCAGAUGUAGUGCUAGGCUACAAGUAUGGCAUUGGGGUUGUGCCGGCUAAUGCUAGGAUGUGGUACUGGACCUUUGUUCUGGCGAUGACUCCCGAUCUAGAAGUUGGCAUCGAUGAUGGUAAGCUAGCCAGGAAAUACUGAGGGAUUUACAAAAAUAACAAAUUCCUAGACUUUAAAAGCUUGUUCCGUCCCGGUGAAUCAAUGAACAUGAAUAUGGUCAAGGAUUCUAUGUCAACUGGAAACUUGAGGCUAGUUUAGAUGUUGUGUAUGAAGUGGAGGUAAGAGGAAAGAUGAUUCCAUUUUCUUCCAGGUUCAUAAAUCAAAUCAAGGAAUUCAAGGAGCAUCCGCAUAAGUUGUUCAUGAGGUUGCUGCGUCGGCCUUCCUAUCCUGACAUUAGACGCCAUAUUGUGUGGUGCGGGGUAUCUUGCACAUGGAUACAAGAUGCUAAUGAGUUCCACAAGGACAUGAAAAAAAUAUCAUUUUCAGCGUCCCACCAGAGUCAUUCUCCGGUUGAUUAAUGCGAGGAUCAUGUUUACCCAGAAUGACACUGAUAUCUCUCGAAUGAAGGUGUGUCUCACAUAUGUUUUUUUUGACUCGGAUGAAAUUUCAUAUGGGUAAGAUUAUGCUUGAGCACAUGUAUCGAGUAUGACCACUUGGAACCACCACUUAUAUUCCCUGAGUAUGAUAUCGCAACUUCCCACCAUAUGGAGGAGGAGUUCUAUUAUGAUCGGACAAUUCCAGUUUUGCAUCCUUAAAAGCCUUUUGAUAUCACAGUCGUGAUAGACCCCCCCUCCCCCCGCUGAUGCUGUCUUUGUAGAUAAGAGAUUUGUUUGUGUUGAGGAGACACUACAACUGCUAUUUGUUGAUAUGCGCCUUCGCGUUGCUCGGGGAGAGGUUGACUUGGCAGAGCUGCAGGAGGAUCAUUCCCUCUCCGCGGUCACACAAUAGUGGUUGGGCUUAGCCGUUGGAGUACAUAUGCCACCGGAUAAGGACAACAAAUCCAUUCCUCUGAUGAUGAAGAGUAUCUGCGCACCUUUGAGGGUGUUGAUGAGGAGUAGGCCACAGGCCUCAGGGAGUCACCUUUUUCACCCUUGUUUUAUUGCUUUGCGUUGGGAAAAUGCAAUUUCUUAAGUGCGAGGUGAGUUGUUCCUAUUUGAUUGUGUUUGUAUUUGUACUUGUUUGAUGUUUGCCAUUUAUUUUUGUUUGGUUUGUUUCUUGCUUUCAUUGCCAAUAUGGUCUGUAAAUUAUAAUUCUAAAUUCUAUCAUCCUGUAAUAGUUAGUAAUUAAUUAUUUAGUUUCGACUUUUCCCUUGGGUUUCUUUGUGCCGCGAUUCUUUUUUAAGGAUUUUACUUAAACCGGGUGUAGAUAUUUUUUGUUUUUUUUUUGUUUUUUGUCUUUAUAUGAAUAAAGAAUCUUGAGUCAUAGGGCUAAUUUGAAGCAACUUCCCUUGACUGCAUUUGCCUUGAGAGCGAUAGGUGCCUUAGUUUUGACGCCUACGCUCCGUUCUUGACUUUGAGAUAAGUGCCUUAAAUUGUGUGAUUGUGACCCUGCUGAACUGCUUUGACUAGAGAGUCGGAAAAAAUGCGAUACUAAGUAAGUUACGUGCCAAUGUAUGAGAGAGACUUUUGUGAUAUUCUGUGCAUGUAAAUUGAUGUCUGGAACUGGCCCCGUAUGUUAAUAAAGCAAAAUAGUAGUCUUGUUCGGUCUCGAAAGUGAUAUAGGCAGUUCUUUAUUGAGCCAGAUAUAUAUCUGUGACCCACCUAAUUGAAUGUAUCUUAGUUAACCCUUUUGAGCUUGUAAUUUUGUUUCUUUGGCAACAUAAUUUAUAAUCCUUACCCAUUUGUUUGAAUUGAUUAUCUGUUUGAACCUCUACCUCUCGUGAGAACUGAAAACUAUUAUGAGCUUGUAAAAGUCAAUUGGAGGUAUAGUUGGGGCUUUUAGUGGAACUAUAGAAGAAAGAUAAAUGUGCAGUGUUUGAAAAUUUGUAAGAUCUACUUGUAGAAAAAUUUAAAAAGAGAGUUUGAUUGAAAAAAGAGGAAGAAAAAUCACAACUUAGGAAAAAGAAUUUGAACUCUUGUCGGUGGUAUUUCUCAUAUUAUUUGUGCUUAAAAAAUGAGGGGCUUCAUGCUAUCAUGUAUAAAGGUUUGGUUUAACGUAAGAGUCAGGUUUGAAUUGUGAAAUUGUAUAUAUAUGAAAAUGCUCAAGGAGAUGUAGCCAUUCUAUCUAUAUGUAUCCUACCAUCCCGCAACCUACAUUAUAGACAAUUAAAGUCCCACUUGAUCCUUGAUUGAAUAAGCUAAAUUAGUAGAGUAUUACAGUCAUCACGCUCAACUAAGUCUCACAAAAGACUAUGCGGGCGUUGCAAAUAUAACCUGAGUAUUAUUGCCCAGAGUCAAACCUCAGGGAAUUAACCUAUCAUUACUAUUAUUAGAUUUACUAAAUCCACAUAAUGUGUUUUCCCAAACUUUUUGAUUCACAAGUAAUGAUUUUUCUAACGACUAAAGACUGAAAGUAAUUAAUAACAGAAAAUUAACUAAACUUGAUGUGUAAACAGUUGGAAUAAGGUCUAAGGUAAUGGUUUUCCCCGUUGGUAAUUUCCUUGGUUGUAUAUGUCUUAUAACUAUGAUUUAGUUGUCUCUAUCAAUCAUGAACGCUACAGCUAUCAUAAAUCUUUGUCAAGUAAUUAUGAUAAUUUAGUAGAUGCACUCUCUCAAGCUACGCUAGAUAGAUUCACAAUACAAUUCACUUAGAUUGCACCCGAGAUAUGGUUAUCUCUAAUCCAACCUCUAAACCCUCUGUUAUGACUCUUGUCUUGUAAGGCCCCGUGAAAAAGAGUGCUCAGACGUUAGCAGCUCAAAGAGUCGAGUCUACCUGUGUGGAUCGGAUUCUUUUUACUGUUUUGUACUUAAAAAUGUGAAAUCGAAAUUUUUCCAGAAAAUGGUCAAAAUGCGGUCGCAGAUCAGCAUUCCUACCGCAAAGUGAAUCAGUCAGCAACCAAUUUUUGAUGUUAAAAAUGAGGUCAGAUCUACGGUCGCAUAAUCAAUAUGCGGACCGUAGAUUGAUCGCAUAUGAUCCAUGAAGAAAUUCGAAGGUCAGUUCUGCGGUGCAUUCUGCGAUAGCAAAACAGGAUGCGAACCGCAUAUCUACCACAUUCCCAACCCGUGAGGUUUGAAACUUGAGCCAUUUCUGCGGUCCAUUCUGCGGACCGCAUGUUAGUUCUACGGCCGUAGAUUGCGUCGCAGAUCGUGCUCGCCUGGUAUUUUUCUAAUAUUUUAGACCCGAACCACCUUUUAUUAAAACAUCUUCUCCCUCAUUUUUAACAUGUUUUUAUAAAAAUAAGAGAGAGGGAGAGAGUGAUCUUGAGAGAGAAAGUAAGUCCUUCAUCAUCUAGUCAUUGAAAACCAUUGGAGCUCGAAAAAUUGUUGGUGCAUUGUCUUCUCUACUUCUUUCUCAGGUAAAAUCUCUAACCCAUUUCCCCCAAAUUUUGAAAUUAAGCUUGGGAAGGGAACCCCAUACACUUGCUUUGNNNNNNNNNNNNNNNNNNNNNNNNNNNNNNNNNNNNNNNNNNNNNNNNNNNNNNNNNNNNNNNNNNNNNNNNNNNNNNNNNNNNNNNNNNNNNNNNNNNNNNNNNNNNNNNNNNNNNNNNNNNNNNNNNNNNNNNNNNNNNNNNNNNNNNNAGCAACUAUGAGUUUAAAUUUCUAAAACCUAAGUGUUGCUCAUGAACUAGAUUGACUUCUUGAUUGCUUGGCGAAUUGGACUAGAGGUUUAAAGGGGAGAAUCAACUCCAGGUAUGUAUGGCUAACUGUGAUCCUUAUGAAAUCGCCCUCUGUUAGUUUGUGAAAUUGUUGAUAGUUGAUAUUCAUAUGGGAAUCAUUGUGAAGCUUUUGUGUUGUAUAUUUGUAUGGUAACACCUUGUGGUUAAAGUUGAGAAAACUUGCAAUUAAAAGAGUUUGGAAAUGGUGGAAAUGGAAAUGAUGUGGAACAGUGAAAGUGGAAAUAAUAUGGAACAACGUGUAUGAUUGGUUGUGAACAACUGUUGUGGUAAUCCAAAUUCUGUACAAAGUUGAUGAACAUGAGAAAAUUGUUCCUAGUUGUGGAAAUACAUUACCAUUGUUGUGGUUCUAUCUUAACAAUGUGCUAUAGUUGAUUUCUUGUAAUUGUUGUUUUGUUGCAUGUUGUUGUGAACUGAAACUGUUAGGCGGGGUCGGGUUGCACGCCAAAACACGGUGAACUAAGGUGUGGGUUGGGGUGAUAAGGGUGGCCGAGGUAAUAAGGGUGGACGAGGUAAUAAGGGGGGAAAUGUGAUCCAAUAUCACUAUUAAUAUGAAUACAAAAUCAUGAAAUGAUCAAUGUGGAAUUGUGAAAGGAGACAGCAGGAGAGUUUGUAACCUGUGGGGCACGGAUUUCCCCUUUGUUUGACUAAUUGUAUCAUUUUCUGUGAAAUGUUUGGUUGUUGCUCCAUGGUUGUACUAUUGUUGUUCAGUUUUGUACAUGUAUAUUCAUUUUGGCUCUAGUUUACAUGGAACAGAGUUUGUUCAUACAUGCCAGUAUAAUUCAAAUGUACUGACGUCCCUUUGCCGGGGGCGCUACAUUUGUGUUAUGAUUGUAGGUGGAUUCGCAACAGGCACUCCAGUCCACCGUUUGUAGCUCCUCCUCCCUCUCUAUCGGCGGUAUUCGUGGUUGGUGAGCCCCUUUCCUUCCGGGGCCUUGUGUGGCUCAUGCCACCCAUGUUGUUGUGUUUUAGAGUCUUUUGUCCUUUUGUAAAGAUAUAGCAGGGCCUUCUAGCCGGCAAGUGUUGUAUUAUCUUUCUCUUAGAGGCUCCGUAGACUGUGAUAUGUGGGUUAGAACUUAUGUAUAAAGGUGUAUGUUUCGGGCGCUAUAAACUUGUACACCAUGUUUCAUGUUAAUCAUAAUGUAUGUUUUGUGAAAAUGUUCCCUGUUAAUCAUAAUGUGUGCUUAUAAAAGUGAAUUCAUAUUUACCUUCAAUUGAUAUCUGGUAUCUUUUGGCUAAUCAACAAGGAAUAAUGUGGGGUAACACAUGGGGAAUAGGAAAGGCACCAAGGUCCACUCGACCGGGGGUACCCAGUUGAGUGCCGGUCAUGUCCCUCAUAUUUGGGGCGUGACAAACUUGGUAUCAGAGCUUAAGGUUUUAAAGGGGUCCUAGGAUGUCUCGGAGCCGUGCCUAGUAGAGCACUUCCUAUCGGUGUGUUGUCUACCACAUCUAUAAGUUUGGGGCUACACGAGCAUUUAGGAAAAACUAUCCUCUUCUUUGUUAUUCCAAGUUCGUGCGGUGAAGUGAUGUUGUGUCUAAUUCGUGCUUUAAUUCGAAUUUUCAGUAAUGGCACCCAAAAAGAAAGCUAGACUCAGCCUAGGGGCCGACGCUACUUCCAGUUCGGCUGUGGAUCAUGUGCCGACUGCUGUGGGCGAGAGUGAUUACCCAUUUCUGAAUUUGCCUGCUCCAUCCGUUCCUGAUCCAAGCAAUCAUGUUCCAGCAGCGGCCGAGGGUGCCACUAUCCCUCCUUCCAAUGCUCCUAAUCCUGAUGUUACUCCAGCUUCUGACCCCGUGAUUUCUAAUGGAGACCUUAUGGUAGCUAUUCGUAUGUUGACCCAGUUAGUGGCCGCCCAGGUCCAGAGAUCUCAUGAUCCUCGGUGUCCUCUAGCGGACAGGGAGAUUCCUCCAGCUCCAGAAUUCACCAGUUUUUGCGAUUGUCCCCUCUAGAGUUCUCAGGCACAGAUCCAGAGGCCGAUCAGUAAGAAUUCCUUGAUGAUAUAUACAAGACCCUUCAAGUGAUGAAGGCUAUAGAGAUAGAAGGGGUAGAAUUGAGUUCAUGCAGGUUGAAGGGAGAUGCGCGUUCGUGGUUUGAGAUGUGGGAGGAUUCCCGGGAAGAUGGGAGACCUCCAGCUAGAUGGGCUGAGUUCGUAGAUGCCUUCAUGGACCACUUCUUGCCUACCCAGACUAUGGCAGCCCGUACCACCGAGUUUGAGGUUCUUAAGCAGGGUAACAUGAGUGUUUGGGAGUAUCAUAUGGAGUUCGUGAUAUUGUCCAAGUAUGCUCCUCAGUUGGUGUCGCUAUGGAGGCCAGAGUUUGGCGAUUCGUUCAGGGUCUCAGCCAUUUGCUGGUAAAUGAGGCAUCUACAACGGAUUUGCAUUUAGACAUGAACAAUGGGAAGAUCGUGGGUUUUUCUCAGGCCACAGAGGCCAGGAAGUUGAAGAUUCAGGCAGGCACGGAGAGUAGCAGCAGGGCCCGGUCUAUUAGUCACUCAGGGAGGUCAGCUCCAGGGAAAGGGUCAUCAGAACCAUCUCAGUCUUAUGCUCAGUCCUCAGCUAGUUCACCGCCAUCUGUGCACCAUUACCAGCAGGGUAGCCCUUCGGGGCCAGGUUCAGACAGCAGGAGGUCCCGCCAGUUCAGUCAUUCGGGAAUGAGACCUCGACAGUAGGGAGGUAUAUGUACCAAGUGUGGGAGAUUUCAUACAGAGGCCUACUACUUGGAUUCUCCAGUGUGUUACAAUUGUGGGGUGAGAGGUCACAAACAACGGUACUGGAGUGCGCCUAGACAGGGAACGGGUAGGGGGCUUGCUCAGCCAUCUAGUUCAUCAGUUGCUACGUUACCAGUGCGCCCUCCAGCCCCAGUAAGGCGUGGUGCAGCCAGAGGUGGAGCUCGUGGUAGGGGCGGAGCCAGCAGGUUUUAUGCAUUUAGUGUCCGUCAGAGUGCUGAGGCUUCCCCAGAUGUUGUUACAGGUAUCCUAUUUGUCUAGACCAUUGAUUGCUAUGCUCUUAUUGAUCCGGGGUCUUCUUUGUCCUAUGUCACUCCAUUUGUUGAAUCGAGUUUUGGGAUUGAACUCGAGCAGCUUCUUGAGUCGUUCCCUGUAUCGACUCCGGUUGGUGAUUCUAUUACAGCUGCGCUGAUCUAUAGGAAUUGUGUUGUUGUGGAAGGUGGUCGUGUUACCAUGACUGACCUUAUCGAGGUUGGGAUGGUGGAUUUUGAUGUAAUCAUAGGGAUGGAUUGGCUCUAUUCGUGCUUUGCUAAACNNNNNNNNNNNNNNNNNNNNNNNNNNNNNNNNNNNNNNNNNNNNNNNNGGAUUGGCUCUAUUCGUGCUUUGCUAAACUUGAUUGCCGAACGAGAGUCAUGAGACUCGAGUUCCCUAAUGAUCCGGUUGUUGAAUGGAAAGGAAAUGGCGUUGUGCCAAAGGAUAGGUUUAUUUCCUACCUCAAGGCUUUGAAGAUGAUCAGAAAGGGGUGAAUCUAUCAUUUAGUCUGGGUGGCGGACACUACUCCAAAGGUUCCUGCCCCCGAGUCUGUGCCAGUUGUGAAUGAGUUUCUUGAGCUAUUUCCAGACGAGUUUCCAGGAAUUUGGCCAGAUAGGGAGAUUGAUUUUGGGAUUGAUUUAUUGCCAGAUACCUAGCCAAUAUAUAUUCCAUCGUACAGAAUUGCGCCAGUAGAGUUGCGGGAUUAAAGGAGCAAAUGAAGGAUUUAUUUGAGAAGGGGUUUAUUCGGCCAUGUGUGUCGCCAUGGAGUGCUCCAGUUCUUUUUGUCCGAAAGAAGGAUGGUUCGCUGUGGAUGUGUAUUGAUUAUCGACAGUUAAUAAAGUUACCAUAAAAAAUAAGUACCCUUUGCCUCGAAUUGAUGAUUUGUUCGAUUAAUUGCAAGGUGCAAGGUUGUUCUCCAAAAUUGAUAUGCGGUCCGGGUACCACCAAUUGAAGAUCAGGGAGCAGGAUAUUCCUAUGACGGCUUUCAGGAUGCGUUAUGGCCACUUUGAAUUCUUGGUCAUGUACUUUGGGCUAACCAACGCCUCGGCAUCUUUUAUGGAUCUUAUGAAUCGAGUCAUCAAGUCAUUUUUAGACUCCUUCGUGAUUGUUUUCAUUGACGACAUCCUCGUAUAUUCACGGAGCAGGGAGGAUCAUGCCAGCCACCUCAGAGCGGUUUUGCAGCCUCUACAUCAGCACCAAUUGUAUGCCAAGUUUUCCAAAUGUGAAUUUUGGUUGGAGUCCGUCGCUUUUCUGGGUCGUGUUGUUUCCAGUGAGGGGAUUCAGGUGGACCCCCAAAAGAUUGCAGCGGUGAAGCAUUGGCCUAGACCCACGACCUGGACGGAGAUCCGUAGCUUUUUGGGGUUAGCAGGGUAUUAUCGAAGGUUUAUAGAGGGAUUCUCCACCCUCGCCUCCCCAUUGACUAAAUUGACACAGAAAUCAGUCAAGUUCCAGUGGUCAGAUUCUUGUGAGAAAAGUUUCCAGGAAUUGAAUACAAGGUUGACUUCGGCACCAGUAUUGGCCUUGCUAGAAGGCACAUAGGGGUUUGUGGUUAAUGGUGAUGCCUCCAGGGUUUGUUUAGGGUGUGUUCUGAUGCAUCACGGGAAGGUCAUAUCAUAUGCUUCCAGGCAACUCAAAAAUCACGAGAAGAAUUAUCCAACGCAUGAUUUGGAGCUUGAAGCAGUUGUGUUCGCCUUGAAAAUAUGGCGGCAUUAUCUUUUUUGGGUUCAUGUAGAUGUGUUUUUGGACCACAAGAGUCUUCAAUAUUUGUUUAAGUAGAAGGAGAUGAAUUUGAGGUUGCGGCAGUGGUUAGAAUUGCUUAAGGAAUAUGAUAUGGACAUCUUCUACCAUCCAGGGAAGGCGAACGUGGUGACCGACACCCUCAGUCCGAAAUCCAUGGGUGCUUGGCUCACUUGAGAGCAGAUCAGAGGCUCCUAGCUCGGGAGGUACAUCAGUUGGCUAGCCUUUGGGUUUGUAUCUCGGCCCCGAAUGAGGAGGAACUUAUGGUGCAUAAUACAGCAGAAUCGUCGCUCAUGGCAGAGGUUAAAGGAAAGUAGUUUGUUGAUCCAGCAUUGGCACAAUUGAAGGAGGCAACUCUAAGUAAAGAAAUUUCAGCAUUUUCACUCGGUAGCAGUGGUGUACUACGGUGCCAUGACAGGUUAUGUGUCCCAGAUGUGGAUAAUCUUCGGGAGAGGGUAAUGGCGGAGGCUCAUCAUUCCAGGUAUUCAAUGCACCCAUGCUCUAUAAAUAUGUAUCACAGUCUCAAGGAUAUCUAUUGAUUGAGUGGUAUGAAGAAGAGUGUACCGAACUUUGUCUCUAAGUGCCCGAAUUGCCAGCAAGUGAAGGCCGAGCAUCAGCUGCCGGGAGGGAUGACUCAGUUUAUAGAAAUGCUGAUGUGGAAGUGGGUAAUGAUCAAUAAGGACUUCGUGACAGGACUACCUCGUACUCAACACAAGUUUGACUCAAUUUGGGUAAUUGUGGAUAGGAUCACCAAAUCUGCUCACUUUUUGCCAGUCAAGUCCACUGAUACUGCAAAACAAUAUGCUCGGCUGUAUAUCAAGGAGAUAGUGAGGCUUCAUGGUACGCCGCUUUCUAUUAUUUCGGACGCUGACCAAAUCAACUCACUUUUUGCCAAUAAGGUCCACCGAUACUGCAAAACAAUAUUCUCAGUUGUAUAUCAAGGAGAUAGUGAGGCUUCAUGGUACGCCACUUCCUAUCAUUUCGGAUCGAGGAGCUAAGUUUACAGCUAAAUUCUGGAGGAAACUUCAGCAAGGUUUGGGUAUUCAAGUGAAUCUUAGCACAUCUUUUCUUCCGCAGGCCGAUGGCCAAGUAGAGCGGACUAUUCAGACGCUCGAGGAUAUGUUGCGGGCAUGUAUCUUAGAUUUUAAAGGUAAUUGGGAUGAUCACCUGCCCUUAUAGAAUUUUCUUAUAACAACAGCUUUCAUGCUAGCAUCUAGAUGGCCCCAUUCGAAGCAUUGUAAGGAAGGUGUAGGUCCCCGAUCGGGUGGUUCGAGGUUGGUAACGUAGAAUUAAUAGGGCCAGAUCUCGUGCAUCAGGCUAUGGAUAAGGUGAGAGUCAUUCAGGAGAGAAUGAAGACUGCUCAAAGUAGCCAUAAAUCCUAUGCGGACGUGCAUCGAAGAGAAUUGAAGUUUCAAGAAGGGGAUUGGGUAUUCUUGAGCGUGUCCCCUAUGAAGGGAGUCAUGCGCUUUUUGAAGACGAGAAAACUAAGUCCUAGGUACGUUGAGCCUUAUCAAGUCACUCUAAGGAUCGGUCAAGUUGCGUAUAGGUUGGAAUUUUCCCUGAAAUGUCCUUGGUGCACCCGGUGUUUCAUAUAUCCAUGUUGGGGAAAGUUGUGGGUGAUCCGUCUAAAAUUGUGCCCAUGGAAGACAUCAAGGUUACAGAAGAGUUAUCGUAUGAAGAGAUUCCAGUUGCUAUUCUGGAUAGGCAGGUUCGAAAGUUACGGAACAAGGAGAUUGCUUCAGUUAAGGUGUUGUGGCGAAACUAGCAAGUCGAGGAAGCCACAUGGGAAGCAGAAGAGAAGAUGAAGAUAAAUUACCCCCAUCUAUUUGAGCAAGUCAAGGAAUAAUCAUGCGAAUCUUGUCCCUAGGAGAACUAAUGUUGUGUCCCUUUAGGUGUAAGAAACCUUCCUUCUCUUCCCAAGUGCCAACUAUUGUAGUUUCUCCAAGUAGUGCCAACAAAAAUUAUGUGUUGUAACUAUUUGAACAAUGUGCAGUCCUUUUUGGUAAUGGAAGUUUUGUGCUCCCAUGAUAAGGUGAUGUAUGGAAGUAAUAAUUAAUUUUGCAUGGAGAUUUUGUAUCAAAGUGUUCUAAUUGUGUAACGAUUAGUUUUGCAUGGAGGAAUUGUACUGAAAUGAAUAACUGUGUCGUACCCUUGUGAUAGGUAAAUUGCUUUAAUAGUAUAGGUGAUUAAUGCUUAAUUUGAUUACAUGUUGUGUGCCAAAUGGUUAAAGUGUAUCAAGAGGUUGAAUAUGUGCAAGCGUGAGGAUUAUGCAUAUUACAACUGUUCUAAAGGUGGCAAGUUUGUGUAGUAAUACUUGGGAAUAUGUUUUGAAGAUUCAUUGACACGUGGUUAUGUCCAUAUUACAAAGGAAACUCUGGAAAAAUAUUUCUAAAACUAACUUGAAAGUUAAUAAAAUUGUAGAAACUUGCAUAUUAGGUUUUCAAACUCAUUUGGUUCCCAAGUCUUCAUUCGAGGAUGAAUGAUCUUAAGCGAGGGAGGAUGCAAGGCCCCGUGAAAUGAGUGCUCAGAUGUUAGCAGCUUAUAGAGUCGAUCUACCCACACGGAUCGGAUUCUUUUUGCUGCUUUGAACUUCAAAAUGUGAAAUCAAUUUGUUUUCUAGAAAAUGGUCAUAAUGCGGUCUAGAAUGCGGUCGCAGAUUCUACCUGCAUGGAUUGGAUUCUUUUUACUAUUUUGUACUUAAAAAUGUGAAAUAAAUUUUUUUCCAUUAAAUGGUCAAAAUGCGGUCGCAGAUCUAUGCGGACCGCAUUCCUACCGCAUAGUGAAUUAGAGAGCAACCAAUUUUUGAUGUUAAAAAUGCGGCCAGAUCUGCGGUCCCAUAAUCAAUAUGCGGACCACAGAUUGAUCGCAUAUGAUCCCUGAAGAAAUUCGAAGGUCACUUCUGCGAUUCAUUCUGCGACCGCAUUACAGGAAUACAGACUGCAUAUCUACCGCAUUCCCAACCCGAGAGGUUUGAAACUUGAGCUAUUUCUUGUUAGUUCUGCCACCGCAGAUUGCGUCGCAGAUCGUGCUCGCCUGGUAUUUUUCUAAAAUUUUAUACCCGACCCACCUUUUAUUAAAACAUCUUCUCCCUCAUUUUAACACAUUUCUGAUCAAAAUAAGAGAGAGGGAGAGAGGGUUCUUGAGAGAAAAAGUAAGUCCGUCAUCAUCUAGUCUUUCAAAACCAUUGGAGCUCGAACAAUUCUUGGUGCAUUGUUUUCUCUACUGAUUUCUCAGGUAAAAUCCCAAACCCAUUUCCCCCAAAUUUUGAAAUUAAGCUUGGGAAGGGAACCCUAUACACUCGCUGAAAUUUCUUCAUAAAAUCUUCAUGCAUGUCUUCAAAACCCUAAAAUCUUGUAAAAAGGGAANNNNNNNNNNNNNNNNNNNNNNNNNNNNNNNNNNNNNNNNNNNNNNNNNNNNNNNNNNNNNNNNNNNNNNNNNNNNNNNNNNNNNNNNNNNNNNNNNNNNNNNNNNNNNNNNNNNNNNNNNNNNNNNNNNNNNNNNNNNNNNNNNNNNNNNNNNNNNNNNNNNNNNNNNNNNNNNNNNNNNNNNNNNNNNNNNNNNNNNNNNNNNNNNNNNNNNNNNNNNNNNNNNNNNNNNNNNAAUAUUCAUGUGGGAAUCAUUGUGAAGCUUUUGUGUUGUAUAUUUGUGUGGUGACACCUUGUGGUGAAAGUUGAGAAAACUUGUAAUUGAAAGAGUUUGGAAAUGGUGGAAAUGUAAAUGAUGUGGAACAGUGAAAGUAGAAAUAAUGUGGAACAGCGUGUAUGUAUAAAAGUGUUUGUUUUGGGCGCUGUAAACUUGUACACCAUGUUUCUUGUUAAUCCUAAUGUAUGUUUCGUGAAAGAUGUACCUUGUUAAUCAUAAUGUGUGCUUAUAAAAGAGAAUUCACAUUUACCUUCAAUUGAAAUCUCGUAUCUUUUGGCUAAUCAACAAGGAAUAAUAUGGGAUAACGCGUGGGGAAUAGGAAAGGCACCCAGGUCCACUCGACGGGGGUAACCGGUUGAGUGCCGGUCAUGUCCCUCGGAUUUGGGGCGUGACACGUCUAUACUCUGUGAGUGAUGUUGUUCAUACUAUCACCUAAAUAUGCACUCUCAAGUAGAUACAUAAUAAAUAGGAACGGAUAAUUGAGGGUCCUUUCAACUAACCACAAUCAAUUCAUAGAUGAACAAAUAGAGAUUAACAACAAAAUCCAACUAUAUUAAUAAAAAAACCAAGUCAUCCCCAACGGGUUCCACCAAAACCUUAGAUUAAGGUUUUUAGCUACUCAUAACAAUGGGAAAAUAAACUACUAAAAGAUACAUAAUCAUAAAUUACAAGAAAAAUAAAAGAGAAUAAGAAAAAUGAUAUUUUGGGUGAUCUCUCACCCUUUUUCUCUUGCCAAAGUACUCUCUAAAACAUUACAUGCCUCCCUUGGGCGAGUUUUCUUGGUAAAUAUAGGGUUUUGGGUUAAAAAUCCCAUAUUUUGCACUUAAGUCCCUAAAGUUUCCCCGUGCUGUCGCUAUCCUACCGCGGUUACGCUAGGACCCCGGCCAAACUGCCUCUCUAAAGUUUCCACGUGCUGCUGCGGUUCUAUCGCGGUUAUGCCAAGACUGCAACCAAACUGCCUCUCUGAAGUUUCCACAAUAGCAUUUUACCGCAGUCCUACCGCGGUUACGCUAGGACCACGACACGCUAUCUUCAGUUAUGGUUUUCCCUGCCUUCGCUUGGUGCACUUUGCGGAUAUGUAAAAUUGGCCUCUUUUUCUCCGUAAUUACUCCCUAAAGUACUCCAUAAGACUUCUUUUACUGGAUAUAGCCUGCAAAGCAUGAAAAACACUAAUCAGAAUAUUUUGUUAUCACUUUUUACCAUAGAAACUAUACAUGACACACCCUCCCUAUAGCUCGGACCCUAGCCAUCAUCCAGCUCUCAGACCUGUCCUGCCUUCUAGACAUGGCAUCCAAACGUACAUGCAGGCCAUCCAUCGAGGUGCAAAGAUCUGCUACCUCCUCCCCUAAUGAAGGUGACAGGGGUCGGCUGGAUUGUGAUCUAGAGAACCCAGCUCCAGUCUAGGGUCUCCGAGAGGAUCCGGCUCCAUCAUAAGACCUCAUGGGUGGUACCAUGGGUGCUGGGUUGUCAUUCUCGUCGUCCAGCUCAGUGGUUGUGGGUGCAUCUCUACCCGCUCUGAUCGUCGCACCUCUGAAUGGUGCUUUUGGGGCCAAAGUUCCAUCUGUAGGAUUGGAUUGGACAUUAGCUAGCAGACAUAACCUCGUCACAAGUGAGGGGUAGUAAAACCCCUUAGACAUCAGAGGUGACUGGAGAAACAUUUCAUCUCCAAUGAGCUGCACCACAUCAAAGUCCUUCUUGUUUACAAAGCACCAAGUCAAUAAAGCAUGUAAGCUAUUCACAUCGGUCAUAUUGACCGUGGGCAAUAACCUACUGCAAAUGAUGGUAAACCAGCACUUGGCCUCAUGUGUGAACGACUUGGAGUGCAGUGUCAUGUAAUUCUGGAUCCAUACUGCUUGUUCCCCUGCGCAUAAUUUCUUAAUCCUAGUGUCCCAAUCGACCCCUAGGGAGUUGUGGUAAUGAUCAGUGUCACCGGUGAACUGAGGCAGCCGCAAGACAUGGCGAAUCUUUUCAAUUAAGGCAUAUACCAUCUUUCCCCGCAUAAUCACAGAACGACACAGAUGUUCUGGGCAGUUCGCGUAGAACUCCCGGACCAUCAUUGGGUUGGCCGUUUCAGGUUCCUCGAACAAGUACUCCAUCUCUCUCCGUCUGAUUUCCUCGUACAUGUUCGGCCUUUCUAUAUGGAGGGUAGACCUAUCAAUAUGAAUCUCAGGGACAAAGCUUUUGGUGGCUCUUGCAUGAAACCCGUCAUCUGCCUCCUAUGACUGGAAUCAGGUGGCAUCACAUAUCGGCACUUAGAAAGUGCUUGCCAUAUUCUUAUGCUUCCUUGGCGCCAUAGAACCUACAAGCAAUUUAGGAAAACAAUCAGGUGCAUCCUAACAUGUGCAGGUCGGAUGGUUACUUAGACUUCGCCACUCUCUAGCACCAAACAAUUCCCGUUUGUCAACCAAGGCAAUUAUUCCCAACUAGUAAAGUGCCCAAUGUUAGCAACCCCCAUUAAUGCCCUCACGCCAUUAUCAAUUCUACAAUUUGACCAUACAGGACCCCACACUUACUUCCACAAGUGAAUCAUGUCUAAUGCUACCACCACUACAAUAUAAGAAAGGCAUAAAGUGCUUCAAAUUUUCAUAAACACACCCCCAAUUUCAGCCAGUUAGGGCCCCUCCACCAAACUUCACCCUACACAAUUUGUGUAGGCAUAAAGACAAGCUAAACACCUCCCACCAUUUAAGCACAAUAAAAACCCAACAAUUUAAGCAUCGAUCAUGGCCAAAAGAAGCAAAUAAUGGAAAAAAAUCAAGAAAAGAAAGAAAAAAUAGAAACAUUAGCAGUAAAACACUACCUAUGGUGUAAUUAAAACUAAAUUAGACUACUCAUUACACUAAGUUACUUGAAGAAGAGAGAAGAUAGUGGAGAAGUUACUUUGAAGAUUAAUGGAAAGGAUGGGGUAUAUGUGUGUGGGAAGUAAUUUAAAGAAGAAAAGAGAAUAGGGGAAUUUGGGGAUUUAGGGUUCUUGGGAGAAAGAUGAAAGAUGAGGGGAAGAGAGAGAUGAGAGAUUUGUCAGAGCGGUGGGAUGGGUUUGAUAUGAGGGAAAAGAACAAAAAGGGAAUGGGUUAGGUUAAUUAAGGGGAGUAAGAAAAAAAGAAAAACAAAAUAAUGCAUACCUGGGCACGAUCUGGUCCACCGUGGUUCUACCGCGGUUACGCCGGGACCACGAUGGACUUUUAUCAGAGAGGGUCCUAGAUCGCGGUCCUACCGCGGUUACACUGGGACCGCGAUAGCCCUAUAUAAGAGAAGGUCAUUGACCACGGUCCAACCGCUGUUACGCCGGGACUGCAGUCUAGGCCUGUUCAUGUUUUUUUUAAUGAAUUUAUACAUUAUACUUACGACACAUUCGUGGGUUGCCUCCCAUGCAUCGCCUGAUUUAACGUUGCGGCACGACGCAAGUCGUUGAGCUCUUACUCCUCCUUCUCGUACUGGGAUUAUUUUAAAUUGGUCAUCAUGGUACCCCCUUUUACAUCAGCUAUUCCAAGGUAAUGUUUCAACCUUUGCCCAUUUACAGAGAACUUGUUUGUUCCAUAUUCUGACUCAAUCUCCACAGCUCCAUUUGCAAACAUUUGCACCACUCUAAAUGGCCCUGACCAUCGGGACUUUAACUUACCCAAAAAUAAUCUCAACCGUGAAUUAUACAUUAAUACCUGGUCACCGGGUUUGAAGUUUAUGUCCACAAUGUGGUUGUCAUGCAUCUUCUUCAUUCUUUCCCAUUACAACCAUAUGCUUUCAAAGGCUUGAUAUAUUCUUCCAGCUCAUGAAACUCUGUCAAUCUAUUCUGUCCAGUUGCUUCAGGAUCCACGUUCAAUUGCUUCAGUGCCCACCAAGCUCGUAGUUCUAGAUCCAUAGGUAGGUGAUAGGCCUUCCCAAAUACCAACUUGUAUGGUGACAUACCUAUUGGUGUUUUGAACACUCUAUAGGUCCAGAGUGCAUCAUAAAGCUUCUUUGCCCAAUCAGUUCGUGUGGCAUUUACAGUCUUUGUUAGUACACUCUUUAUCUCCCUGUUGGACACUUCAACCUUCCCACUGGUCUACGGAUGGUAAGGGGUAGCCACCUUGUGGCGUAUAUCAUAUAUAGCAAGUAAUUUCUCGAAGGCUCUAUUGCAGAAGUGAGUGCCUCCGUCACUGAUGAUCGCUCUUGGUGUCUCAAACCGGGUGAAUAUGUUCUUUAUAAAAAAUUCGACCACCACUCUUGCAUCAUUAGUGUGUAAGGCUACAACUUCCCCCCCAUUUAGACACAUAAUCCACAGCAACAAGUAUGUAUUUAUUGCCAAAUGAGCUGACGAACGGGCCCAUGAAGUCAAUCCCCCACACAUCAAACACCUCUACUUCUUGAAUUGGUUUCAUUGGCAUCUCAUGGCGAUGAGAAAUGUUUCCCUUGAGCUAUUUCAUGAAGUCAAUCCCCCACACAUCAAACACCUCUACUUCUUGAAUUGGUUUCAUUGGCAUCUCAUGGCGAUGAGAAAUGUUUCCCGUCCAUUGGUAAUCAUUCCAGCCCUUUACCUAGAGGUGUGCAUCUCUAAACACAGUUGGCCAAAAGAAUCCGGCCUCUAGCACUUUCGCAUUUGUUUUUACCCCUCCAAAAUGUCCUCCAUAUGCUGAUACGUGAAAAGCCUGCAAAAUCAAAGAUUGUUCUAUCUUGGGGACACACCUCCGGAUAAUGUUAUCAACACAUAUUCGAAACAAAUGACGUUUAUCCCAAUAAUACAUGCGACAAUCACGAAAGAACAUUUUCUGUUGAACAGAUGAAAGCUCAUAGGUAAUAAUACUGCAGGCCAGGUAGUUUGCAAAAUCUGCAUACCAUGGAGCAUCCUCAAGACUGGCUACGAGCAGCUGCUCAUCUGGAAAGGUUUCCGGAAUCUCUUCGACCUUGACUGAUUUCUCAGCUCCUUCAAGUCAUGAAAGAUUAUCAUUGACUUGAUUUUCUGUGCCCUUACGGUAACAAAUUUCGAGGUCGAACUCUUGCAACAACAUCACCCAGCAAAUCAGGCACGGUUAGACUCAUUUUUCUUAAUUAGGUACCUGAGAGCUGCAUGGUCAGCAUACACAAUUACCUUGGACCCAAUCAGAUAUGAUCAGAACUUGUCAAAAGCAAACACAACUACCAAUAUCUUCUUCUCCGUCACUGUGUAGUUGAGUUGUGCAGCACUUAGCGUUCUGCUUGCAUAGUAAAUCGGGUGCAUGAGCUUAUUUUUUUGCAGCCCCAAGACUGCUCCUAUAGCAUAGUCGCUAGUGUCACUCAUGAGCUCAAAUGGUUGCUCCUAGUUGGGUGAAACAAUGAUAGGUUCAGUUACCAACUUCUUCUUCAGUUCCUCAAAUGCCAACCUGCAAUCAUUAGAAAACACAAAGGGCCGAUCCUUUUCAAGGAGUUUGAAUUUGCAGAAAUCUAAUAUGAAUCACUGGUAGAAUUUGACGUGACCAAGAAAACUUCUUACCACCUUGACUGAAGUGGGUGGUGGUAGCUUCUCAAUCAUGUCAACCUUCUCACGGUCGACCUCAAUACCUUUUCUGGACACACGAUUUCCCAGGACUAUCCCUUCUAGUACCAUAAAAUGGCACUUCUCCCAAUUUAGCACUAAGUUUAUCUCCACACCUUUUGAGUACUCUACUUAUGUUGUGAAUACAGUCUUCAAAUGAAUCUCCCACCAUGGAGAAAUCACCCAUAAAGACUUCCAUAACAUCCUCCAUCAUAUCUGUGAAGAUGGCUAGCAUGCACUGUUGAAAAGUCGCCGGUGCAUUGCAGAUCCCAAAGGGCAUUCUCUAAAAGGCAAAGAUGCUAUACAGACAAGUGAAAUAUGUAUUCUCUAUAUCCACGAGGGUUAUUGAUAUCUAGUUGUACCCCGAAUAUCCAUCCAAGAAACAAAAGUGUGAUCUACCGGCCAGCCUGUCCAACAUUUGGUCAAUGAAAGGCAAAGGAAAGUGGUCCUUUCGGGUGGCAGUGUUCAAUUUUCGGUAAUUCAUGCAAAUUCACCACCCUAUGAUUGUACGAGUUGAGAUCAACUCAUUGUUGUCAUUUUUCACAACAGUCAUUCCCCAAUUUUUCGGAACACAUUGGACAUGGCUGACCCAAUUACUUUCAGAGAUGGGAAAAAUGAUUCCCGCAUCUAACCAUUUGAUCACCUUUUUUUUACAACCUCUUUCAUAUUAGGGUUCAGCCUUCGCUGAUGUUCCUUGGAAGGUCUGUGCCCCUUCUCCAGGAGAAUCUUAUGCAUACAAAAGGCUGUGCUGAUUCUCUUUAUGUCUGCCAUGGUCCAUCCAAUGGCACUCUUGUUAUCCUGCAGUACUUGUAAGAGCCGUUCUACCUGCACCUCUAGUAAACACGGUGAUAUAAUAACAUGUAAGGUCGAAUCAGGGCCUAAGAAUGCAUACCUGAGGUGAUCUGGGAGUGGCUUCAACUCCAUCUUGGGUGGUUCCUCUAUUGAUGGCUUUGCUGGAGGAGUGUCCCUCUUUUCCAACUCAAUGUACUCGAACUAAGGUUUCCUUGACCAAAAACCUCGGCCUUCCAGUACCAUAACCCAUUCAGUGCUCACCUAAUGGCUAAAAAUGGUCUCCCUAAAAUAAGGUGUAUUUCCUCGUCCACAUGACAGUCCAGGAUCACAAACCAAGAUCACAAAGUCUGCAGGGAAAACGAGCUCCCCCACUUGUACCAGCAUAUUAUCAAGAAUACCACUUGGUCUUUUCACAGUGUAAUCAACCAGCUGUAGUAGCAUAGAAGUUGGUCUAGCUCUACCGAUGCCCAAUUCAGUGUACUCUACUAGCGGCAUUAAAUUUAUGUUGGCUCCCAAAUCACACAACGCAUUUGCAAAGGCGUAACUUCCAAUUGUGCAUGGAAUAGUAAAGCUACCUGGAUCGGCCAUCUUUUGAGCCAUCAGUUUUGCCACCACUGUGCUAUAGGUCUGUGUCAGAGUUACGGUGGAUAGAUAAUAAAAAUCAAACUUUCAUGUCAUUAGAUCUUUUAUCGUCUUGGCAUAACCGGGCAUUUCCCUCAAGGCAUCCAUCAAAGGAAUAUUCAAUUGAAUUUGACGCAACAUCUCUAUGAACUUUUUGUAUUGGUCUGCCUUUGUUUGUUUGACCAGUCUCUGAGGGAAGGGUGCAAGUAUAACCCUUUGUUCAUUGCUUGUUGGCUUCUCUCUGCUAGGAUUUCUGGCACAAGAGGUGCCACCUGUUCUGCAACUUGCUCGUUCUCCUUUUCUUUGCCUUUUUCCUUCUAACUCUACUCAACCACCACUUUAGUAAGUUCUGUUGGUUCUUCUACCUCUAAGUGAACUGGAGUGGCUGGUGUAGUAUUCAUGCUGGCUUGUGUAAUGUCCUGCUCUCUAUCUAAAUCUCUACCAUUCGGGAGACUGACGUCCAUCAGCUGAUUUGGGUUUGCUCCUUAGGGUUUAUGUUUGUGUCUGCAGGUAAUGUUCCUGGAGGACGGUAGUUCAAAGCCGUGGAAAGCUGACCAACUACAUUUCAAUAUUCUUUAUGGCUGAAUCAUGCACUGCCAAUUUUUUCCUGCAUUUUAUUAUUUGUCCCAAUGAGUUGCUGAAGCAUACCCCUGAUUUCCACCAUGUUGUUAUCUUGUUGCAGAGGGGGUGGUUGAUACACUAGUUGCUGCUGAUUUUGCUAUGGAUAGCCCUUUUGUUUUCUGAUAAGGUACUGGCACUAAUUGGUUUUGAGGGUGCAUACCCCCAGGCUGCUGUAUAUUAGGCUUGACUGCUGGUUUUGCUGCGGUCUCCAUUGUUGUGCUCUUUGCCUCUGACUCCCAUAGUUGUUGACAUAAUUUAUAUCUUCUCGUGCCCCUUGAUUUUCACCUUCUCUGCUCCAUGAACACAUAUAGGACUGAUUAAUACACGGGGUGCAUAGUCCUCUAUUCGUUGUAUCAAUGAUGUGCACCUGAUCUCAUCAAUCUUCUUUGUUAGUAGGUUUAUCUUGGUCAGGAGUGCGGCCAUGUUCUCUUCAUGUGAAUUAUUGGGAUCAAGAGGAAUUGAAUGCACUAUGGGUGCCAGUGUUGUACCUCUAGUCAUCCACCCCGCAUUUUGUGACAUUUUAUCGAGAAUAAUUUUGCACUCGGUGAAUGUUUUGCUUAAGAAAGCACCUCCAACUGAAGCAUCCACAUUCACUUUCAAGUUGGCAGCUAGGCCUAUGUAGAAUCUCUAGCCGAGCAUGUUGUCUGGAAUGCUAUGAUGAGGACACUUCACUUGCAUCCCUUUGAAUAUUGCCUAUACUGUAAUAUGUCAUCAAUCUGUUGUGCAGUUUGUUAUGCGGAUUGAACUUGUUCAGGAACUACUUGACUAAUUCCUCCCAAGUGUUAAUAGAGUUGAUAGGGAGAAAAUUUAGCCAAGUCUGAGCUAUCCUAGUUAUUGAGAAUGGGAAUAGGAGCAGUUUGAUAGCUUCAAGAGUCACAUUUGGCUGCCUUUGGGUCAUGCAAAUUGACAGAAAAUUUUUCAAGUGUUGUUGCAGGUAUUCAAUGUGUGACCCGAAGAACAGUCCCUUACUCUACAAUAGAUGCAACAUGUUGUUGGUGAUAUGGAAUGUCUCCGCUUGGAUUGCGGGCACAGCUAUGGCAGUUGCCAGAUUGUCAGUUGUAGGUUGUGCUCAGUCAUAAAGUGCAGCUACGGGCACAAAAGGUGCCACCUCUCUGACAUUUAAGUCAGUUUACUCAUUCUUGACAUUACCAUUGACAUUAUUUACGUCACCUAUGUCAAAUUUGAGUUGGUGUGUUUAUUGAGGUUGUUGAAUUCCUUUGUUGGCACGGUUCAACGCCCUGAAUAAUUUUUCGGGGUUAGCGAUUCCUUCUAGUAGUUCUCCAGUCCUCAAAGAAUUUCGAGGCAUACACCUGCUUUUCACAAGAUUUCAAACGUUAGAAUGUCAAUGAAAAGAUUGGGUAUAGAAAAAACUGACUACACUUAGAAGUUUUGUAUUUCUUUCAAUUGUAAUUGAUAACACCAUUAAUUCCCCGGCAACGACACCAAAAUUUGAUCACGCUCAACUGAGUCUCACAAAAUAAUAUGCGGGCGUUGCAAAUAUAAUCUGAGUAUUAUAGCCUAGAGUCGAACCACAGGGAAUUAACCUAUCAAUUACUAUUAUUAAAUUUACUAAAUCCACAAAAUCUAUUUUCCCAAACUUUUUGAUUCACAAGUAAUUAUUUUUCUAAUAAAGACUGCAAGUAAUUAACAACUGAAAAUUAACUAAACUUGAUGUGUAAACAGUUGGAAUAAGGUCUAAGGUAAUGGUUUCUCCCGUUGGUAAUUUCCUUGGUUGUAUAUGUCUUAUAAUUAUGAGUUAGUUGUCUCUAUCAAUCAUGAACGCUUCAUCUAUUAUAAAUCUUUCUCAAGUAAUUAUGAUAAUUUACUAGACGCACUCUCUUAAGAUACGCUAGCUGGAUUCACAAUACAGUUCACUUCGAUUGCACCCGAUGUAUCGUUAUCUCUAAUCCAACCUCUAAACCCUCGGUUAUGACUCUCGUCUAUACUCUGGGAGUGAUGUUGUUCAUAUAAUCACCUAAAUAUGCUCUCUCUCUCUCUCUCUCUCUCUCUCUCUCUCUCUCUCUCUCUAGCAGAUACAUACUAUUAGGGGUGGAUAAUUGAGGGCCCUUUCAACUAACCACAAUCAAAAUGUAGAUGAAAAAAUAGAGAUUAACAAAUCCAGGAGUGAUGUUAUUCAUACAGUCACCUAAUUAUGCACUCUCUCUCAAUUAGAUACAUAAUAAAUAGGAACGAACAAUUGAUGGCCCUUUCAACUAACCACAAUCAAUUCAUAGAUGAACAAAUAUAGAUUAACCUUAAAAUCCAACUAUAUUAAAU